This 426-nucleotide ribosomal RNA is filed under the name Triticum aestivum (bread wheat). RNAcentral describes it as "partial small subunit ribosomal RNA". The record is from RNAcentral. Lineage: Eukaryota; Viridiplantae; Streptophyta; Magnoliopsida; Poales; Poaceae.
GAGGGAGGAGUCAGAUUCCAUUGCUUCGGAGCCAUAUGGAAGUGUUGGGCACCGCUUGCGUGCAAGCUAUUCAUGUGGCUUGCGGUGCAAUAUCGUUUAUGGACCUCGGACAGGAGAGCUAGGCAUGGAUUGCAAGACCAAGCAUCAAAAUGUUACAUGUGUGACCAGGAGGAGGAUACAAUUGACCACAUUUUGCUGCAGUGCGUGUUCUCGCGGCAAGUGUGGUUCCGCUGCACUACUAGGGUGGGUUUGACGGCCGACCUUUGCCCAACAAAUGACUCAAGAUUGGUGCAGUGGUGGACGGAUACGAGAAAGCGAAUAGAUAAGCAGUCUCGGAAAGGCUUUGACACCCUCGUGAUGCUAAUCUGUUGGACGAUAUGGAAGCAAAGGAAUGCGAGGGUCUUCGACACGGGCAUAAUCAAGAAC